Dermacentor silvarum is the source of this 468-nucleotide long non-coding RNA. RefSeq lists it as uncharacterized. The transcript has 3 exons. NCBI's taxonomy places the organism in Eukaryota, Metazoa, Arthropoda, Arachnida, Ixodida, Ixodidae. The record is from RefSeq and is a predicted model, not a curated record.
GCGCCAGCUGCGCGAGCAAGCGGAUCACACGUGACAUUCGCGUUGGAAAUGGGAUCGCGUCGCAGCAAUCACGUAGAUUACGGUGGCCCCACAAAGAGCUGCACGCAGAUCAACGCCGUGUCGGGUGUGCUUUUCAACGUGACUGGAUGUUCCCUACCAUGAAGCUGAAAGCCAUUCUGCUUGCCGCGGCCGUCGUCGGCCUAUGGACGCCAGCAAAUACAGCCGGGUCGGUGGAAUCGAUGAAGGAGCCGCAAGCGAGAGGAAGUUCAGAAGAAGCUGACACCUCCGGUGGACUGCCGCCUCAGAGCAUUGACGGAAGAAUUGCUGAAAUUUGUAUUCACGAGAUAUGCGGGUAGUCAUCAGUUGGGACCCCACAAUGCUGGUCCAGGAAGUGUGGCGCUCUUGGCACUUUCCGUGACAGCAUUCGAUAAAUGAGAAAAAUAAACCUUUUAUUGGAAACAUCCAGUA